CUUAGGUUACUUUCGCAAACUUUGUUCAGUAAUUAGUUUGCGACCGUAAUCUAGUG
RNAcentral lists this microRNA precursor (56 nucleotides) under Panagrellus redivivus. RNAcentral's name for it is "microRNA prd-mir-7929 precursor". Lineage: Eukaryota; Metazoa; Nematoda; Chromadorea; Rhabditida; Panagrolaimidae. The record is from miRBase by way of RNAcentral.